This 497-nucleotide ribosomal RNA is filed under the name uncultured bacterium. RNAcentral's name for it is "partial 16S ribosomal RNA". It matches the Rfam family "Bacterial small subunit ribosomal RNA", at positions 28 to 507 of the family's 1533-position model. The record is from RNAcentral.
GAUGAACGCUGGCGGCGUGCCUAAUACAUGCAAGUCGAACGCUGAAGAGAGGAGCUUACUCUUCUUGGAUUAGCUGCGAACGGGUGAGUAACGCGUAGAUAACCUGCCUUUUAGCGGGGGAUAACUAUUGGAAACGAUAGCUAAUACCGCAUAACAAUGGAUGACACAUGUCUUUUAUGUGAAAGGGGCAAUUGCUGCACUACAAAAUGGACCUGCGUUGGAUUAGCUAGGAGGUUAGGGAAUGGCCCAACUAAGCGACGGUACAUAGCCGACCUGGGAGGGUGGAUCGCCAACACGGGAAUGGAGACACGGCCCAGACUCCUACGGGAGGAAGAAGUGGGGAAUUUUGGGCAAGGGGGGAAAGCUUGACGAAGAAAGACCGGGGGGGUGAGGAAGUUUUUCGGUCGGUAAACUCCGUUUUAUGUGAAGGAAGAGUGGGAGAGUGAUAAGUUCACGUUGUGACGGUACCUAAUCAGAAAGCGACGGCUAACUACGUG